Molecule: long non-coding RNA, 1900 nt
Filed under: Homo sapiens (human)
Lineage: Eukaryota; Metazoa; Chordata; Mammalia; Primates; Hominidae
Description: HSALNT0033788
Source: RNAcentral
GCUGAGUGCAGUUUGAAAAGGCAGAAAGAGCUGGGCACAGGUAACUGAGCAACAAUGAAUGGUCAAAUUCAUGAGCAAAAUUAGAUUUCCCCAGGAAGCCUGAUGUCUUGUUUCUGGGGAUCUAAUUCAGAAAAAGGGAGAGAAAACGGCCUCCUUGGUGUGCCCCAGAGGACCUGAUGGAGCUAACAGUGGGGCUGGGGCCGGAAGCGGGAUGCAGACCUGGGCCCCAACAAGGAUGAUGCUGGUAUGACUCAGUCUGCUGAGGUCAGGUCCUGGCAAGACAGGUUCCGGAGAAGUGGCCGUCUCCCCGUUAUCAGAGAGAGAGCAUCUCCCCUUGCCUGGAGGCACUUCAGAGACUUCACCUGACGCAGGGAAUCUGUGCAUCUGAAGAUGGCUCCUGUCCUUUCGCAACAUGGCAGCAAGCCAUGUGUUUGAGACAUAUGCAGAGGCUGCUGCGGUGCUGAAGACCCCAGUGAGACAAUCAGAAAGAGAAAGUGCGCAGAAGAAACAUCUGCCCCCAAGUGAUGGAAAUACACCAAAGUCUGUUUUCAGGAUUGCUCUGUCGUUUUUUGGAAUAAAUUAUUUUUCUGCUUUCUACGGAACAAUACUCAAACUAAUAAAAACAAUUUAGUUAGUUGUGACAUGCUAAAGCAUGUAGUUAAAAAGCAGUAACUAGUUACAAAUAUCUAAUGGAGAAACAGUUUCCAAUAACCAUAGCUACAGAAAUUGUCAAAUAUCUAGAAUAAACUUCUAUGAAAUGAGCAGCCAUUUGUCCUACCAGAUAUUACAACAUAUAACAAAAUAAUGGAUAACAAGUAACACUAGUUGAGAUAGUCUAGGAGCAACAUAGGCUAAGGCUGGCAAAUUGAUGAAAAUGAAUUACAAGUCCAAAGACAGAUAAAAAUAUACAUGAAAUUGUAAUACAUGAUAAAGGUGGCCCCUCAAACUAGAUAAAUAAGAGUAAAUUUUUCAAUAAUUGGUCUAAUGCCUAACCAUUUGGAAAAAAAUGAAAUUUCUACUUCACACAAUAAAUCCACAUCAAUACCAGGUAACAUAAAGAUGUGAAUGUAAACUGUGAAAUUAUAAAAACUCCAAAGAAAAAUAGUUAUAUACAUUCUGGGUACGGAAGUACUUUCUAAGAAUUGUGCCAAAGACAGAAAUUGUAAAUGAAUAAAAUCAUUAGAUUUUGACAAUGUUAAGAAAUUUGUAUAUCAAAAAAAAUCUUAAAUAAAAAUAACAGGCCAGUCUGGAAGGGUAAGGGGGAAGGAGGGAUAAAGGGAAAAAAAUAUAUAAAUGUGUUUAUUACUGUGACCUGUACACCUAAAAAUGGUAAAGAUGGUAAAUUAUAUAUGCAUAUUUUACUGCAAUAAAAAAUAAAGUUAGAAAAGAAUAAACUUAUCUUUCCCUCCAAAAAAAUAUUAAUAGGCAAACAACAACAUGGGAAGAAAUAUUUGCAACUUAUAAAGGAAGCAAUGAUUUGCUAUCCGUAAUAUAUAUAAAUCAACAGAAAAAAAGAUGAAUUGUCCAACAAAAAAAUGAACAGAAGACAUGAGGAUACAAUUCACAAAAGGAAAAAUAUAAACAAAUGUUGAUGCUGAAUAAAUAGUCAAGCUCAAUAAUGACCAGAAAAAUGCAAAUUUAAAAAAAUGAGAUACCGUUGAAUACAUAGCUACAAAACUGGCAUAUUUAAUCAUGAUAAUAACUAGAAUUAAAGAAGACGUGGGGAAAUGGGUACCCUCAUGCCCUGAUGGCUUGUGUAUAAUAUACACAAACUCUUUGAAGGACCUUUUAGAAAUAAAUAACAAAAAUCUGAAUAAUAUUUAUAUAUUUUGAACCAGAAAUUACACAUCUAGCGUCCAUGUCCAGAGCAUUUAUAAAAAUAUGCAUAUUUUUGGUCCGG